AUACGGAGGAUCCGAGCGUUAUCCGGAUUUAUUGGGUUUAAAGGGUGCGCAGGCGGGAGAUUAAGUCGGCGGUGAAAUUUUGCCGCUCAACUGUAAAAGGGCCUUCGAAACUGGUUUCCUUGAGUGGAGAUGAAGUAGGCGGAGUUUGGGGUGGAGCGGUGAAAUGCAUAGAUAUCACGAGGAACUCCGAUUGCGCAGGCAGCUUACUAAACUACUACUGACGCUCAGGCACGAAGGCGUGGGGAUCAAACAGGAUUAGAUACCCUGGUAGUCCACGCAGUAAACGAUGAUUACUAGCUGUUUGCGAUACAAUGUAAGCGGCUGAGCGAAAGCGUUAAGUAAUCCACCUGGGGAGUACGUUCGCAAGAAUGAAACUCAAAGGAAUUGACGGGG
This 393-nucleotide ribosomal RNA is filed under the name uncultured bacterium. RNAcentral's name for it is "partial 16S ribosomal RNA". It matches the Rfam family "Bacterial small subunit ribosomal RNA", at positions 523 to 918 of the family's 1533-position model. The record is from RNAcentral.